Molecule: long non-coding RNA, 223 nt
Filed under: Gallus gallus (chicken)
Lineage: Eukaryota; Metazoa; Chordata; Aves; Galliformes; Phasianidae
Source: RNAcentral
UCUAUACAAGUACUUCUGCCAAAACGCACCAGGAGCCAGCCGAAUUUCACCAGAGGAUCAAUAAAAUAAGGAAUCAGUCUCUGGUAGAAAGAACUACUGUGAUAUGUGGAUGUGCACCUAGCUUUCCAGAAACCUCUGCACUGCUCACUUCCCCACAACAAAUCACAGGAUUUUGCCAUACUAUAUUCAGUCUUGAGAGUUAAAGCAGAAUUAUUGCCUUUGC